RNAcentral lists this ribosomal RNA (254 nucleotides) under uncultured bacterium. RNAcentral's name for it is "partial 16S ribosomal RNA". It matches the Rfam family "Bacterial small subunit ribosomal RNA", at positions 524 to 776 of the family's 1533-position model. The record is from RNAcentral.
UACGGAGGGUGCAAGCGUUAUCCGGAUUUACUGGGUUUAAAGGGUGCGUAGGCGGGUUGUUAAGUCAGUGGUGAAAGAUUCGAGCUCAACUCGAGAACUGCCAUUGAUACUGACGAUCUUGAAUAUAGUUGAGGUGGGCGGAAUGUGUCAUGUAGCGGUGAAAUGCUUAGAUAUGACACAGAACACCGAUUGCGAAGGCAGCUUGCUAAACUAUUAUUGACGCUGAGGCACGAAAGCGUGGGGUAGCGAACGGG